GAGGGGAAGAAAAUGCCAGACUGUGAGAGUCAUAAGCCGAGGGCCAGACUGUGAUAGUCAUAAGCCGAGGACCAUCGCUGUGAUUGUGUGAGCCGAGGUAAGCUUGGUGCUACCUCUUUUCUUUUGUUUGUUAUUUUCUUUGAAUAAGAAGAUUGAGAGUUUCUGAAUAUUGUGAAGUGAAUUAUGGAAUGGAAAUGUGAUUAAUAUUAUUUGAGAAGAAGAAAGAUUGAAUGCUGAAAUCUGAUUGUAGUUCAGCAGAGAGAAUGAGUGUGUCUUUGUGUGAAACACUAUAAUGUGAAUGGCAGUUCUGUAUGAAGAAUUCUAGUAAUUGGAACGAGGGUAAUUGUGUGUUGAAAGCUGUGAGGGCACAGUAUUACAGUUGGAGAUUAUGAGGGUGAAUAUAUUGGUAGAAAUAGUAGUUAUUAGUAUGACUGAAUUAUUGUAAGGAAGAGACCGAUAAAGUGAAGGAAGAGAUUAUAAUUUCUUUGUGUGUUCAGAUAUUGAAAAUAGAGAGGAUACAUUCAGGAGGUAAUUGAUUGUGUGACCCUAACAUGAACGCUUAAGUAACUAGUCAUUGUCCAUGUUUGAAUCCCUGUAUACAAAUUUAUGCCGGGAGGUUUCUUCCGGAAUAAGUAAAACGAGCAAUCACAUAUUGGCACCGCUGCCGGAGAGUGAUAAUAGCUUUGAGUAUUAGGAAUUAAUUACCAAACGUGUGGGAAAAUUGGCAAUGGAAGACGAUUUGAAUAGUGUUUGAAGCAAGAUUAUGGUUAAUAAAAACGAGAGCAUUACAUCGAGGAAAAUAAAUCAGUUGAGAGAAAGACAAGGAAGAGCGCAAGGAAGAAACUUACUUAGAGAAGAGCAAGAAUGUAAUCUUAAAAAGAAGCAUUGACAGAAUUAGAUUAAACCAUGGUUGUAAGCUUGUCGGUGCAUCCAAAAAUAUCAAGAAGUGGACAAACUGUUAAUUCUCUAGUCGUAUGUACCAUUAGAAAAACUGCCAAGAACACUCGUGGGAAAUUUUAUUAACAUUCUAAUAGAAAUCUUGGGGCCAUUAACUAAAAAAGAAGAAGGCGUAGAAGAAUUUGGUACUCCAUUGGGUAUUUUUUCAGUAGAGGGUACCGCUGAAACGAGCAAUAGUGGCUCUUCAGAUUGGCACAAAUUGGUCACCAAUAAAGACAACUAUAUUAUAUUUUAAAAUCUAACAUUUUCACGUACAACUCAACCAAUAAAACUAAUUAUAAAAAAUAACAAUAAAUCGAGGAGUACUGAGAGCUCAGAAAUUAGAAUAAAGAAAAGUAGAGAUUAUUUUAAAAUGGAGUUUAGGAGAACAAGAAAUUCAAUGGUGUCAGAAAGACCAAUCAUUGUCGUAUUACAUGCUUUCCUGCUCGAGAACGCGCCGAGCAUCUGGCUGUAGAAGGUAGUAUGAAGAUUCGCUAAUUUUCAAGCAGUCUAUCGGUUUUUGACUGUUAGAAUAUAAACAACUAUAAGAAUAUAUCAUAAAUCUAUACGGAUGUCCUUCGACUGCUUGCCGAAAUCCUUUUUGUCCCAGAUGGUAGGUCUCUAGACGUUACAGAGAACCCCAAACAAUCUGAUCUGCUAAUCUCCGAUACCGCUUUAUACUCACACCUUGUAUCCACUGACUGUCUUGUUAGAUUAACCCAAUAAAUUUCAUUCACUCCGCAUACUCAAUCCUAUAGACACCCUUUUAAUUCUUCAAUCAUAGACGUAACAUUGUUUCACAAAACAGUCAAGAAUAAUUAUACCCACUUCAUUAAAAUCUCGAUUCACCAAUACAACACUGACUUCAGCAACGAUUACCUUAGUCUUCCCAAAAUUCCAUGAAGAAAAAAAAUCCCAAUUCUCUAUUUUUUUUCCCCGCCUGAAGCAUGAAGCUAGUUCUCCGACCCUUAAAAAAAACUUAUUCUCCCCCUUCUCAUUUCUUAACUUGUCCUCUUCUUUAACCCUAAUUCUCCCCUCUUUCAAACCCUAGCCUCUGAAUUUCUUCAAUCUUCCGUCUUGGAUCCGGAAUUACCUCCGCCGUAAGAGCUUUCUCCUCCGUUUUUACCUUUAAGAGAUCCUUUUACCGAAAGGAUGUUCCCGGAACGGUACAAAGGACAAAACAGCCUGAAACAAAAUUGGAGCCCCGUAAUCGGGACCAGAUUGAGUCGCCCGAUCAAUUCAGGUCUCAUAUUGGCUAAGAGGUCCGUAGUAAGACCUGGAUGUUCCUGUAAUUGGACCGCAUUGGGUUGCCCAACCAAGUCGGGUCUCAUAUUGAGUAAGAGGUCCGUAAUAGGACCUAGAUUGGAUGUCUUGAAAUUGGAUCCAAUUGGCUCUUUGAAUCAGGCUCACCCGUCGUUGAACUGGUCCUUUUUCUUUCUGCAGACUCCCGUUAUUGGAAUCGAAUAGAGCAUUUCAAUAUGCCCCGGCUGACUGUAAUGGGGUGACUCAACUUGGCCUCUCAGUAUUUGCACUAGAAUUGGUUGUUGCUCCCAAUAUUUGAGGUAACUAAACAUCAAUAAAAGUCCCCUUUUUUUAUAUUUUCAUGGUAUACUCGUGUUACAACACGACAUCCAUCCCCUCUGAACCUGUGCAUCCUUCGGUAUGCACCAAUUUACCCAAUUACUGUGUGACUUAUAAUAUAUUCUCUACGUCUUUGUCUAGUUCGUCUUCAUCACCUUCAUUAUCCAAAUCACUUUCAUCUUCUUGCUGCAUACCUAACUUACGUAAUUCUCCUUCAAUAUCAUAUAAUCUUUUUAUUUCUUUUCUUUUAAAAUCAUCAACUUUCUUAUUCAUAAUAUUUCCAUUCUCCAAAAUACCAAUAAAACUCGCAUCAAAGGCACCCUCAUCUCGCGAGAGUACCUCCUCUUUUGUACCUCUAUAAUCUUGCUUUACAGUGGUACCUCCCCAAAAUCCUUAAAUCCUUCAACAAUCUUUGGCAAUGGUUUCUCCCUCAACCUAUCUCGAUUCCGUUCAUAGUUAGGAGGUACUGUUAGAAAUUGUAUAGCUUUCCUCCCAUCUUCGCUACGUACCAUUACAUAAGUAGAACCAUCGUCAAGUAUUUUUGUUUCCAUCUGUGUUGCCAUAAUAUAAUGUUGUCCUAAAAUCAACGGAUAAGAUGUUGUAUCUUGAACAAAGAAAUGUUGCUCCGUCGCAACAUCCCCAAUCCAAAUUUUGACAUCUGGACAAGCUUCAUAUAAUUCGCCCCAUGUGUUAUUAGCUGCUCGUAUUGCCCAUCCAUGUUCGAUAUCAAUUGGCUAUUUUUGCUUCUUAUAAAGAUCUUUAGACAUGAGAUUUAUUUCAGAACCAUGGUCGACUAAAGCAACAAUUGGUUCUUCUAUAUCUCCUACUUUCACCAAUACCUCUAUAGUUGCCCUUGUCCAAUGCUUUCGAGUAUAAUGGCUCAAAGUUUCUAUUUUCUUAUCACUAUAAUCUUUGAAACGUAUUCGUUGAUUAUACCCAUUCUUUUCAUUUGUUGGUUGCUUGUAACCAAUAUCAACCUCUUCUUCAUCUUUAUAUAUUCUUGCAUCAAUAGCAUGACUCAUUCCAGUUUCGCCCAUUAAUUACCUCUUUUCCUUAAUACUGUCAAUGAUAACAUCAUGAAACUCCUUCUUUACAAUUCCCAUGACUUCUUUCAAUAUGAAUUCCACCUUAGCAUUUAAUAUACGUUCUUCCAACUUCCUUUUUAAAUUUGUUGUUGUUUCAAUGUCAGAAAGUAGCUUAUAAGCAAUUGAUUUGCCCUUAUCUUUUGUCUCCCUUGUUUUUUCUUCCAAUGAUGCUGAGAUAUCCUUUACAGGCAAUUCUUGUGAAGCUGCCUUCCGAGCCUUGUUUCCUCAAGUUUACCUCUUAGAAAAAUUUCCUUCUCUCGUAUCAUCAAAAUUUUCUCGUCUCUUUUCUUCCAUGAAAGCUUCAUGUUGGCUCUUAGCAAUAUAUGCAUGAACUGAAAGAGACUCAACAGGAUCCUCCCAACCUGUUGCACCUCGUAUUGUAGCUGCAGUCUUCAAUAAUGCUUCUCAAGGUAAUUUCCCUUCUUGCAUUGUAGAAAUGGCAGAAGUCCAAAACUCACUAGUUUCCGUACUUCCACCAAGGUCAUCAUCUAUUCUAGCACCAUAACUUGUACUUUCUCGUGCUGCUAUUUUAUGCUCUUUUAAGUAAUCUUGAACCAAUACUCUCAUUCUUUCCUUACCAAAAUUGGUUUGAAGAAGAUCCUCCCUAUCUUUUAAUGCUAUCUUCCCAUCUUUCCAGUAAAUAAUUUCCUGCCAUAUCAUAUUAUUAAAUUCAUUGCAAUCUUUCCUAGUGUGUGAAGUGUCAUCACACUAAAUGCAUCUUUGUACAUAUCCUUGUUUUGAAACAUUCUUCAAAUUAUUUGUAGAAGUAUUCUCUUCAAGUCUUGCUAAUUUGAUUUGAAGAUCUCGCAUUCCUCAUAUAAUUUCUUCCAUCUCCAUAUCUGCUUUCUUUGAUAAGGAUGUCGAAGGUUGAACUGUAGGCAUUGUUAGUGGUGUUGUAUGUACUAGAGCUUUGGGUGCUUGUACUGUUUUCGGAAUAUUGCUCCUAUCCUUCCUCCUUUCUCUUUUUGUAAGCAACUCCACCGCAUCUUCAACGUUCUUCCAUUUUGUUGUCAAUCCUUCAUCUUCUUCUUUGUCUUUAAGAAGGAGUUCCAAUUUUCCUUACAAUUCUCCAUCAACAGCUUGAAGAAAUAGAUCAACUUUGUUUGACUCCAAUGUCAAUUUUUCUACCUUCGAUAAUUGAAAGUACUGUCUCUCAAAUUCCCUUAGUAGCUCUGUUGCUUGCAAAUUCUUAUUAGACCGUUCAAUCCAUUCUAGAAACAACUUCUUAGUAAUGCGAUCAGCAUCUUCCAAGAAAUAUUCGUCUUUUAAUGCAUGUGAAAAAACCUCCCAUGAAUUCCCAUAACAAUCCAUAAACGAUGUAAUAUGGUCUCUUAUCUCCGGUAUCAUGGCAAGUCCAAAUAAUUCAACCAUUUUCUUCUCAGAAACUCGAUUUAAUUCCAUUUCACGAACAUAACAUCUUGAAUACCUUGAAAUAUUCCUUCCAUCAAAUUGAUCAAUUUUAUUGACCACUGCUUGCAAUGCUUUGGUUAUCAAAGCUUCCUUUCGAUCAUUGCUUUGUUGUUACUGCAUUGAUAAUGAGAAGGCUUGAAACAUACUAGCAAUAGAUGGAUCCAUGUGCAUACCUUGUUCUUUAGAAGAACCUCUACCAGAAACUCCUCCCAAAGAUCCUUCAAAAUUUUUAUUUUCGUUUUCCAUAAAAAUAAAAAUAAAAAUAAAAAUCAAACGAAAUGCAAUACCUUCCACCUCAAGCUUUCACGUCGAGUUCACUACUUUUGUCGUAUUACGUGCUUUCUUGCUCGAGAAUGCACCGAGCGUCUGGCUGUAGGAGGUAGUAUGGAGAUUCGCUAAUAUUCAAGCAAUCUAUCAGUUUUUGACUAUUGAAAUAUAGACGAUUGCAAAAAUAUAUCGUAAAUCUAUACGAAUGUCCUUCAAUUGCUCGCCGAAAUCUUUUUUGCCCCAGCCGGUAGGUCUCUAGAUGUUACAGAGAACCCCGAACAACCCGAUCUGCUAAUCUCCAAUACCGCUUUAUACUCACGACCUUGUAUCCACUAACUGUCUUGUUAGAUUAACCCAAUAAAUUUCAUUCACUCCGCAUACUCAAUCCUAUAGACACCCUUUUAAUUCUUCAAUCACAGACGUAACUUCGAUUUCACAAAACAGUCAAGAGUAAUCACACCCACUUCAUUAAAACCCCGAUUCACCAGUAUAGGAGUGACUUCAGUAACGAUUGCCUUAGUCUUUCCAAAACCCUAUGAAGAAAAAAAACCCCAAUUCUCUAUCUUUUUUUCCUACUCGAAGCAUGAAGCUAGCUCUCCGACCCUUAAAAAAAACUUAUUCUCUCCCUUCUCAUUUCUUAAUCUCUCCUCUCUUUUAACCCUAAUUCUCCCCUCCUUCAAACCCUAGCCUCUGAAUUUCUUCAAUCUUCCGUCUUGGAUCUGAAAUUGGCUCUGCCGUCAGAGCUUUCUCCUCCGUUUUUACCUUUAAGAGAUCUUUUUACUGAAAGGACGUUCCUGGAAUGGCACAAAGGAUGGAACAGCCUGAAACGAAAUCGGAGCCCCGUAAUCAGGACCACAUUGAAUUGCCUGACCAAUUCAGGUCUCAUAUUGGCUAAGAGGUCCGUAGUAAGACCUGGAUGUUCCCGUAAUUGGACCGCAUUGGAUUGCCCGACCAAGUCAGGUCUCAUAUUGGGUAAGAGGCCCAUAAUAGGACCUGGAUUGGAUGUCUUGAAAUUGGAUCCAAUUGGCUCUUCGAACCAGGCUCACCCGUCAUUGAAUUGGUCCUUUCCCUUUGUGCUGACUCUCGUUAUUGGAAUCGAAUGGAGCAUUUCAGUAUGCCCCGGCUGAAUGUAAUGGGGUGAUUGAACUUGGCCUCUCAAUAUUUGUCCUGGAAUUGGUCGUUGCUCCCAAUAUUCGAGGUAACUGAACAUUAAUAAAAGUCCCCUUUCUUUAUAUUUUCAUGGUAUACUCGUGUUACAACAUGACACCAUUCCGAUUGUAGUACAAAUGGAUGCAAUAGGCAAUCGUAUGACUAGUAUCGUGCUACUACCUACUUUUUGGAGAUUUUAGGGUGCGGAUCCUGAUUAGUAUUUGUCUCAGUUUCUUACAGCAUGUGUAGCUAAUAAUGGCAGAACUGAAGAUAUUUGGUUGCGUUGGCUACCAGCAACCUUAAAAGACACGACGUUUGAAUGGUACAACCGCCAACUAGUGGGUCAAUUUCUGAAUUGGGAAGCAUUAAAGAAUGUAUUUUUAUCUCAUUUUUGGCCAAUUGGUUUUGAGGACCGCCUUUGAGGGAGGUUAAUGAACAGCAAAAUGAUCCUAGGGGAGGCAGUGGAAUCGUACUAUGGCUGAAUGGCUGAUAUACUUAGUAAGUGGCCGAAUCACCAAAUGUCGGAGGUAUUUAUCUUAUCCAUAUUAAUCAAUGGUUUGCAUCCACCAGAGCUAAAAAUAUUUAUAAAAAAAACUCAACCUGUUAUAGUGGCUGCGUCCCUUAAUAAAGUCAAGGUUUGGAAGGAAUGUCAUUAUGAUCAGUUUUUAACUACGGGAGCCACGAUGAUUCCAGUUCAAGGUAGAUAUCAAAAUCUGACUAGAAACAAAUCAGUGGAUAGUUAUCCAUGGAUGUUAGAAACAGGGGUCAAUUCUAAUACCAAUAUUCAGGGGCCAGUUAAUGUCACCCCAUUGCAAGCUAUACCACCGAACGUGACAAUAGCGUAUGCUCCAUAUUUUCUAUAUCAAUAACAAGCAUUAACUAUGACAGAGAUACCAACAAUGUCAGCCCUAAAAGAUUCCAAUGAAACCUUAUUAUUAAAUUUGAGGAAGAAAAUGGAAGAAAUGGCUGUCAAUAUGGCCAAAGAUAAGGAGAAGAGGCAAAAGCCUACCAAUACUAGGACCAAUGUAUGGUGCAGUAAUUGUAAGGACCACAGUCAUUCUAUAACAGAAUGCCCCUCACCCUCACAAAUAAUGGGUCAAUGUAUAUUUUACGGAAGAAAGCAUCUAACAGCAAAUUGUUGGAAUUGGCAAGGACAACAACAACAAUUUAGUAAUCAGACCAUGAUCCCGCCAAACCAGUGGAACGUCAAUCAAGUACAAAUAGGAAAUAUAUUUGGAUAGAAUAGAAAUCGAUUUAAUCGAAAAAAUCGAGCAUUCAAUAACUUUCAAAGUUUCAAUUUUAAUCAAUUGUCUGUAUUGAACCCCCAGAACUAGAGUAAGGAGCAGCAGAGGUAUCAAUAAUAUGCUCCAUUGAUGUCAUCAAACCAAGUUCUCUCAGUACCAAUUGGAUAACCAGGAUCAUUUUUUAACCCUAUAUGGAGCAAGCCUAGUAGGUAUAUACCGAUGGAGGCAUCCAAUAUGCCUGAUGGGAGUUCAAGAAGACCACUUCGUUGUUUUCGUUGUAGACAGAUUGGUCAUUAUGCCAAUAAAUGUCCUAAUCCAAGGGCCAGUAAUGACUAUGCUCCAAUAUGUAGAAAUUGUAAGCAGUCUGGUUACACUUAUCAACAGUGUAAUGCGCCCUUCAAUUAUAAUAACUGGGACUUGCAAAUGCAAACAAGUCAACCGACGGAGGACAAAGGCCCUGUUCAACGAGACUCACCAGUACAUCGUAUCGAGGUGGUGAACGCAGUGCUUACCAGAGGCCAAUAAAAAGACACGAAUCCAAUUCAGGACCUGGAUGAACCAAUCGCAGGAGAGCAAGUAGCACAGUCCAUGGGGCUAAACGAACCAAUAUCAGUAUUGGGACGUAUUCCAAUAUUGAGACAUCAACAGAUUGAGGAAUCCAAUUCGGUCCCAUGUGCCAAUUUAUCGGGACCAUCAAGAUCGAUCUCAACUGACUAAGUACCAAUAUCUGUACAGUCCAAUAAAAGAUCUUACGCAUUAAAGGAACCUUUAGUAGUAAAAAAGUUGGCGAACUUAUCAAUGAUAAUCCCAAUCACCAAAAAGAAAUUGCUGCCAAAUGGAGUAAAAUCGAAACCAAUGAAAUACAAAAGAGCAUUGGAAAUUACUCUCAAUAUGGAACCCUACGACAUUCUGAAGGAUUUGGAUGUUAUUCAGCCUUCAAUUAUAAUGAAGCAACUUUUGGUUGUAGCACCGGAAUGUCGAUCUUCAUUGAAUUCAGUAUUAAUAUGACGAAGAUCUCGCACUGAAGAAAUUCAUGAAGUUAGCUUAAAUCCAGAUCUAGGAGCACCAACAAUCGAUGUAUCAAUCGAUGGCGUUUCAAUUCCAGGGAUAGAAGUGGAUGGUGGCUCCAGUGUGAAUUUAAAGAAUGCGGAUAUAAUAGAGGACUUGGAUCUAAAGCAAUUGCUACCUACGACAUUGGUCUUGCGAAAGGUAGAUCAUAGUCAAGUAAAGUCAAUGGAAAUCUUACAUAAUAUUGCCACUGUAAUCGUGGGAUUGACAUACAAAAUUGAUUAUAUUGUAUUUCGAUUACAGAGUUCUAUGUUAUCGUAUUCUAUUUUAUUGGGCAGACCUUGGCUUUAUCAAGCCAAAGCUAAGAACGAUUGGGGCCGAGGUACAUUGACAAUUGGAAAAGGCCAUGACCAGAUUGUUCUAUAGAUGUAUCCGGUACAAUAUCAUGGAGAAUCUCAAUUGCUAGAAUCAGAAUUUACAUUGGACAAUGAAAGUCAAUCAAUUGAGAAAGGUGACGAUGCUAUAGGUUCACCGCAAUUUGGGGUAGGAUAGAACACUUCAAGAGCAAAGGCAGGAGUCUACCAAUGUGGAGGUCCCGGUGAAUAUUUACUACAGCAGGAGGAUGUGACUAACUCGGAUCAUGCUAUUGCUAAAUGGAUGAACAAUUCCACAGUCAAUAGAGUCAGCACAUUGGAACUAGAUUUGGGUGGUUCCCAUAUGUCGGAUAAUACAAGAUAUUUAGAUCAAGAGAAGACAAUUAAAUCAGAGGUUGUUGAAGACCUUGUGUGUCAAUCUAUUAACUUGGGCACCAACAAAAUGCCACAGCUAAUUAAAAUAUAUGCCUAUAUUAUCGGUACAGAAUUGGAUGCUUGAAAAUAAUUUUUCAUCCAUCACAAAUCUACCUUUGCAUGGUCAUAUGCAGAUUUGAAAGGGAUUUCAGUUGACGUGUGUGAGUACCAGAUUAUUCUGGAGGAGGGUAUUAUGCUAGUUCGUCAAAGAUAACACCGGCUUAAUCCAAAAUAUUUUCUUUUAGUGAAAGAGAAAUUAGAUAAACUUCUCGACGUGGGUUUUAUUUAUCCUGUUCCACAUAGUACAUGGGUAUUGUCAAUCGUGAUGGUACCGAAGAAGAAUGGAAAAAUCAGGAUAUGUCAAGAUUUUCAAAAGUUAAAUGUGGCCACCAAGAAAGAUUACUUUCCAUUAGCUUUCACGAACAAUAUGGAGAACAUGUUGUCAUUAUCACCAAGUAGUAAAAGAAUAGGAGUGGAGCACCAGUUAAAGUCUCUUUGUGGUGUUGUUUUGGGUUGGCUGGAGUGCCAUUUUCUUGUAUUUCUUGUAUUUUCGAGAGUAGUAGUUCCAAUUAAGACAUAAAAAUGAGGAGCCGGUCACAAGUGUCGAUUGAAGAUAUUCUAAAAUGAAUGAGCAACAGCAACAAUUGAAACUUCAGGAUGUCAAGAUCCUGAAAUUGGAGGCUCAAGUCCGUGUACUGGGUGAGUAUAAUGAAGACCUUUUAGCUCAGUUGAGGCAGGAGCCAAUGGAAGGAUUGGAAGAAGAUGAAGAUUUGCAGUUGGAACUGGAAUCGGUGGAACCAAUAACAGAUACUAUGGCAAUUAAUUAAUUAGAUAGGCCAGAGGGAUCGCAAUUUUUGUAGAAUUUUGUUAGAUAAUUUUUAGAUAGGUAUCAAUUGAGUGUUUGCAAGGACGCUCCACAGUUAGGAGUGGAGCUAUGUAAAAAGAGUAGUUAUUUUUAGAAUGUAGAUACUUAGUGUAUAGUGUAAACAGAAAUAGAUAAUUGUUGAAAAGGUGGUUCAGCAAGUAGAAUGGAUGAAUAGUCAAGAAAAGUAGUUCUCAUCUAUAGUAUAGGAGUUGGUCUCUCGGGGUAGUAUAAGGAGGAUGGGAGAGGGGAAGAACAUGCCAGAUUGUGAGAGUCAUAAGCCAAGGGCCAGACUGUGAUAGUCAUAAGCCGAGGACCAUCGCUGUGAUAGUGUGAGUUGAAGUAAGCUUGGUGCUACCUCUUUUCUUUUGUUUGUUAUUUUCUUUGAAUAAGAAGAUUGAGAGUUUUUGAAUAUUGUAAAGUGAAUUAUGGAAUGGAAAUGUGAUUAGUAUUAUAUGAGAAGAAGAAAGAUUGAAUGCUAAAAUCUGAUUGUAGUUCAGCAGAGAGAAUGAGUCUGUCUUUGUGUGAAACACUAUAAUGUGAAUGGCAGUUCUGUGUGAAGAAUUCUAGUGAUUGGAACGAGGGUAAUUGUGUGUUGAAAGCUGUGAGGGCACAGUAUUACAGUUGGAGAUUAUGAGGGUGAAUAUAUUGGUAGAAAUAGUAGUUAUUGGUAU
RNAcentral lists this long non-coding RNA (11004 nucleotides) under Physcomitrium patens. RNAcentral's name for it is "long non-coding RNA (PPAT_LNC008084)". The record is from RNAcentral. Lineage: Eukaryota; Viridiplantae; Streptophyta; Bryopsida; Funariales; Funariaceae.